AACGGGGGGGACGAGUGUUGCUCAACUUGACUGGGCGUAAAGGGCAAUUAGACGGUUUUCUCGGUGGGGGGUUAAAGCCCGGGGCCCAACUCCGGAUCGGCCCCCCAUACCCGAAGACUUGGAGUUCGGUAGGGGGCAGCAGUACCCCCGGUGUAGAGGUAAAAUUCGGUGAUAUCGGGGGGACUAGCGAUGGCGAAGGCAGCUGCCUGGUCCGAUACUGACGUUGAAAGGCGAAAGCGUGGGGAGCAAACAGG
RNAcentral lists this ribosomal RNA (254 nucleotides) under uncultured bacterium. Its description in RNAcentral is "partial 16S ribosomal RNA". It matches the Rfam family "Bacterial small subunit ribosomal RNA", at positions 524 to 776 of the family's 1533-position model. The record is from RNAcentral.